RNAcentral lists this ribosomal RNA (406 nucleotides) under uncultured bacterium. RNAcentral describes it as "partial 16S ribosomal RNA". It matches the Rfam family "Bacterial small subunit ribosomal RNA", at positions 29 to 526 of the family's 1533-position model. The record is from RNAcentral.
AUUGAACGCUGGCGGCAGGCCUAACACAUGCAAGUCGAACGAGUGGCGGACGGGUGAGUAAUGUCUGGGAAACUGCCCGAUGGAGGGGGAUAACUACUGGAAACGGUAGCUACUACCGCAUACCAUCGGAUGUGCCCAGGUGGGAUUAGCUAGUCGGUGGGGUAACGGCACACCUAGGCGACGAUCCCUAGCUGGUCUGAGAGGAUGACCAGGCCAACUGGAACUGAGACACGGUCCAGACUCCGCCGGGAGGCAGCAGUGGGGAAUAUUGCACGAUGGGCGCAAGCCUGAUGCAGCCAGGCCGCGGGUAUGAAGAAGGCCUGCGGGUUGUAAAGUACUUUCAGCGAGGAGGCGUUACUCGCAGAAGAAGCACCGGCUAACUCCGUGCCAGCCGCCGCGGUAAUAC